ACGGCCAAAUAGAGAGGAGAAGAAGAACUUUGUGUCUGGUCUUAUGGAAGGGAAAGCUAUUCUUCUUUGCCUUAUGGUGAUUGUGCUGCUCGGAAAUUCCAUUCAUGCUAGUACGAAAUUGAUCUCCCUUUUCCUAUAUGUUUCAUUUCUCAUGUCAACUAGAGUAGAAUAAUAUUCUCAGCCAAAAAACACGAACUUUCUUGGAUUUUUCACAAUAUGGACUUCUUCUAAUGAUGUGUGUUCUUCUCUACAGAGGACUGUUUUAUUGGAAUUGCAUUUGGAGCCACUUUAUGCACGAAAUUAAAAUGUCGUUUCUCCUGCAUGAAAAAAUGGGGACCCGAAGUCACCAAAUCGUACUGUAUGGAAGUCAUCCCAAACUUUCAGCAUUGUUACUGUGUUGUUUGUGACACCUAGAGUUGCACUAGGUCAUGAUGUUCAAUGAUGUAUCUUAUCUUUUUUGUUGGAUAUACAUCAAAGUUGGGUGAUUGCGUGCUUGCAAACAAUAAAGAAAAGAGAAAUAAAAAGACAGAUCCGGCCGUGCUGGGCAUUCUCGCAACUCUACCAGAACCGAUCUGGAUUUCCGAUGAUCAGUCUCCAUGAAACAGAAUGUCGCAACAUAUUUAAUCAAGGUCAUCGCUAAUAACACAUGAAAACACCAUAGCGCUAUACACCAACGCAAUUGCUUAACUAGGC
This 693-nucleotide long non-coding RNA is filed under the name Triticum aestivum (bread wheat). RNAcentral describes it as "long non-coding RNA (TAES_LNC000989)". Lineage: Eukaryota; Viridiplantae; Streptophyta; Magnoliopsida; Poales; Poaceae. The record is from RNAcentral.